This 1368-nucleotide ribosomal RNA is filed under the name Streptomyces sp. GQQ10. RNAcentral describes it as "16S ribosomal RNA". It matches the Rfam family "Bacterial small subunit ribosomal RNA", at positions 90 to 1460 of the family's 1533-position model. Lineage: Bacteria; Bacillati; Actinomycetota; Actinomycetes; Kitasatosporales; Streptomycetaceae. The record is from RNAcentral.
GAUUAGUGGAGAACGGGUGAUUAACACGUGGGCAAUCUGCCCUGCACUCUGGGACAAGCCCUGGAAACGGGGUCUAAUACCGGAUACAACCACUGACCGCAUGGUCGGGUGGUGGAAAGCUCCGGCGGUGCAGGAUGAGCCCGCGGCCUAUCAGCUUGUUGGUGAGGUAGUGGCUCACCAAGGCGACGACGGGUAGCCGGCCUGAGAGGGCGACCGGCCACACUGGGACUGAGACACGGCCCAGACUCCUACGGGAGGCAGCAGUGGGGAAUAUUGCACAAUGGGCGAAAGCCUGAUGCAGCGACGCCGCGUGAGGGAUGACGGCCUUCGGGUUGUAAACCUCUUUCAGCAGGGAAGAAGCGAAAGUGACGGUACCUGCAGAAGAAGCGCCGGCUAACUACGUUUCCAGCAGCCACCGUAAUACGUAGGGCGCAAGCGUUGUCCGGAAUUAUUGGGCGUAAAGAGCUAGUAGGCGGCUAGUCACGUCGGUUGUGAAUAGACCGGGGCUUAACCACGGGUCUGCAGUCGAUACGGGCAGGCUAGAGUUCGGUAGGGGAGAUCGGAAUUCCUGGUGUAGCGGUGAAAUGCGCAGAUAUCAUGAGGAACACCGGUGGCGAAGGCGGAUCUCUGGGCCGAUACUGACGCUGAGGAGCGAAAGCGUGGGGAGCGAACAGGAUUAGAUACCCUGGUAGUACACGCCGUAAACGGUGGGCACUAGGUGUGGGCAACAUUCCACGUUGUCCGUGCCGCAGCUAACGCAUUAAGUGCCCCGCCUGGGGAGUACGGCCGCAAGGCUAAAACUCAAAGGAAUUGACGGGGGCCCGCACAAGCGGCGGAGCAUGUGGCUUAAUUCGACGCAACGCGAAGAACCUUACCAAGGCUUGACAUACACCGGAAAGCAUUAGAGAUAGUGCCCCCCUUGUGGUCGGUGUACAGGUGGUGCAUGGCUGUCGUCAGCUCGUGUCGUGAGAUGUUGGGUUAAGUCCCGCAACGAGCGCAACCCUUGUCCCGUGUUGCCAGCAACUCUUCGGAGGUUGGGGACUCACGGGAGACCGCCGGGGUCAACUCGGAGGAAGGUGGGGACGACGUCAAGUCAUCAUGCCCCUUAUGUCUUGGGCUGCACACGUGCUACAAUGGCCGGUACAAUGAGCUGCGAUACCGUGAGGUGGAGCGAAUCUCAAAAAGCCGGUCUCAGUUCGGAUUGGGGUCUGCAACUCGACCCCAUGAAGUCGGAGUCGCUAGUAAUCGCAGAUCAGCAUUGCUGCGGUGAAUACGUUCCCGGGCCUUGUACACACCGCCCGUCACGUCACGAAAGUCGGUAACACCCGAAGCCCGUGGCCCAACCCGCAAGGGAGGGAGCGGUUCGAA